This 231-nucleotide ribosomal RNA is filed under the name uncultured bacterium. RNAcentral's name for it is "partial 16S ribosomal RNA". It matches the Rfam family "Bacterial small subunit ribosomal RNA", at positions 333 to 563 of the family's 1533-position model. The record is from RNAcentral.
AUUUACCUACGGGGCGCAGCAGGGGGGAAUAUUGCACAAUGGGGGAAACCCUGAUGCAGCGACGCCGCGUGAGUGAAAAAGUAAUUCGUCGCGUAAAGCUCUAUCAGCAGGGAAGAAAUACUGACCUUACGGUCAGCAGACGGUACCUGAGUAAGAAGCCCCGGCUAACUACGUGCCAGCAGCCGCGGUAAUACGUAGGUGGCGCGCGUUAUCCGGAAUGAUUGGGCGUAA